RNAcentral lists this long non-coding RNA (297 nucleotides) under Pan troglodytes (chimpanzee). RNAcentral describes it as "long non-coding RNA NONPTRT014848". The record is from RNAcentral. Lineage: Eukaryota; Metazoa; Chordata; Mammalia; Primates; Hominidae.
UGACAUUCAGUAAAGUGUGAAAUGGAAAAUGUAAUCUUGGCAACAAAAUAAUGAGCAGGAUCAGUCUGUUGAUGUGUUCACGUACAAGAAGAAAAGCACAACCAAGAAAGCCAGCAUGCCUCCUGGAAAGCUAGAUGGUUUCAUGGUGGUGACAUCAAUCUCCAAACUAAUCUUCAAUUUCAACAAGCAGCAGGUAUAGGCCCAGCCUGUUGGCCAUUAUCUUUGGAUAUACCACAGAGACCACACCUGGCUGCCUUUUGACACUUCAUCAAUGUCACCUACAACCACACUCUUCAA